RNAcentral lists this ribosomal RNA (253 nucleotides) under uncultured bacterium. RNAcentral's name for it is "partial 16S ribosomal RNA". It matches the Rfam family "Bacterial small subunit ribosomal RNA", at positions 524 to 776 of the family's 1533-position model. The record is from RNAcentral.
UACGUAGGGGGCUAGCGUUGUCCGGAUUUAUUGGGCGUAAAGAGCGUGUAGGCGGCCAGGUAGGUCUGCUGUGAAAACUCGAGGCUCAACCUCGAGACGUCGGCGGAAACCAUCUGGCUAGAGUCCGGAAGAGGAGAGUGGAAUUCCUGGUGUAGCGGUGAAAUGCGCAGAUAUCAGGAAGAACACCCGUGGCGAAGGCGGCUCUCUGGGACGGUACUGACGCUGAGACGCGGAAGCGUGGGGAGCGAACAGG